GCUCGGUGCGAUCCUCUGCGCAUUCCAGCGGCCGGUGAAGGCGAUGUAACCGUCAUUCCGGACGGCUCGCAAAGCGAGCCGAUCCGGAAUCCACAUAUAACGAAGAUGGAUUCCGGGCUCGCUCGCGGUGCUCGCCGCCCUCGCGACCCGGAAUGACACUGUUAGUUGCGAACGCUCAUCCAGCCGGGGUCUGCGCCGAA
Molecule: unclassified non-coding RNA, 200 nt
Filed under: Hevea brasiliensis (rubber tree)
Lineage: Eukaryota; Viridiplantae; Streptophyta; Magnoliopsida; Malpighiales; Euphorbiaceae
Source: RNAcentral